This 281-nucleotide unclassified non-coding RNA is filed under the name plant metagenome. RNAcentral's name for it is "partial contains small subunit ribosomal RNA, internal transcribed spacer 1, and 5.8S ribosomal RNA". The record is from RNAcentral.
GUUCCGUAGGUGAACCUGCGGAAGGAUCAUUGUCGAAGCCUGCCCGGCAGAACGACCCGCGAACUUGUAUAAACAACCGGGGGCAGGGGCGAUCUCGCCCCGUGCCCUCGAACGGCAGGGAGACACUCGUGCCUUCUUGUCGAACAACGAACCCCGGCGCGGUCUGCGCCAAGGAACUUCAAUUAAAGAGUGCCUCCGGUCGCCUCGGAAACGAUGCGCGUGUCGGAGGCGAAUCUUGUACAAAACCAUAACGACUCUCGGCAACGGAUAUCUCGGCUCUC